ACAACAACCAUAUGAAGAUCAUGUACGUAGAAGAU
Molecule: non-coding RNA, 35 nt
Filed under: Trypanosoma brucei brucei
Lineage: Eukaryota; Euglenozoa; Kinetoplastea; Trypanosomatida; Trypanosomatidae
Source: RNAcentral